Molecule: unclassified non-coding RNA, 792 nt
Filed under: Arabidopsis thaliana (thale cress)
Lineage: Eukaryota; Viridiplantae; Streptophyta; Magnoliopsida; Brassicales; Brassicaceae
Description: 3' external transcribed spacer
Source: RNAcentral
CCCUCCCCUAAAUCACUCCAAAAAAACAAUCCCCAAUUCUACACAAGUGUUUCUACACUAACAAAGCAACAGCUCCUUAACGAAUUCCCAACUUUACACGAGCUCGUCUCUCGAGGUUAAAUGUUAUUACUUGGUAAGAUUCCGGACCUCGCCAAGUGUUUUGAAAACCCGCAACGCUCGCAAAGGUGCAUAGUGAGAAUAAUAAGUGAAGAGACAGACUUGUCCAAAACGCCCACCACGAAGGUGCAUAGUGAGAAGAGUAAGUCAAGAGAUAGACUUGUCCAAAAAGAAACGGAAGAGAAAGCUUGGGGAGACGCUCACGAAGGUGCAUAGUGAGAAGAGUAAGUCAAGAGAUAGACUUGUUCAAAAAGAAACAGAAGAGAAUGCUUGGGGUUACACUCACGAAGGUGCAUAGUGAGAAGAGUAAGUCAAGAGACAGACUUGUUCAAAAAGAAACAAAAGAGAAUGCUUGGGGAGAUAGAAGUGUGAGAUAGUUCUCAAGCUAAGAAAGUUGUAAAAGCUAAGAACUAGCAAGUAAUCGUCCAGGAUUCCUCCACCAGGACUUGAAAUCGUCGAGGGAAAAAAAUCGGUUCCGAGGAAUCGUCGAUCCGGACUUGGAAUCGUCGAGAAAAGUUUACCGGGUCCGAGGAUUUGUCGACCAGGAGUGGAAAUCGUCGAGAAAAAUCUAUCGGGUCCGAGGAAUCGUCGACCAGGACGAGGAAUCGUCGACAGGGUCCGAGGAUUUGUCGACCAGGGGUUGAAAUCGUCGACCAGGUCCGAGACUUCAUCGAC